CAUGUGAAAGCCGGGCGAUCUGUGACAAGAGGGCCUGCACUUCUUUGAUUAUUGUAAUAUAUGAAAAUGGCAACAUUAUGUAUCUCAUAAUGGAAUCCUAUGCUUGUUGAUAAGAAUCCUGCCAGAGCUCUCAUGGUAUAAUCGUCUGGCGCCUCAAAAGGAUACCAUGGAAGAAAAACAACGAAAAAUACAAGAAUAAAUUGUUGAAUCUGAGUCGGUUUUCUUCAAAUUUCAAGUCUGAGAAGAAGGAAGGGGCGCUUUGGUUAAGAUGGCAGGAGAUAUAUCGAUAUUUUGGGUUGAGAAUGACCCUGAUUUGGUCAAGAUAGUAAAGGGCAUUCACAAAUCUACAUAUAAGGGCUGGAUUGAGGAGAAUGUCAUUGGAUCGUGCAAAAAGGAGUUGGGAAGAUCUAUUGGGUAUAGGAGUAUUCAUUUUUUGAAAUUUUGAGGGGUAUUUUUGGGAAAAAAUGACAUCCACGAUGAUUAAUGAAUACGAGAUGAAUUUCCUUUUGCAAUGGGGAUUCUUGGCAUUUCUUGAUUCAGAGGAGAUGGAAUUAGGAAAUUCAUUUCCUUCUACCAUCAUGAAUGCCAUCUACUCUGCUUCAGUUCACAUCGCCAUUAGAAAUCUCUUUUCUUCAAUCAUUAUAAAUGUCAUUUUUUCUGCAGAUCGCCAUCUUCUCAAAAUUAUUGCUUAUGCUUCAGUUCACAUCACCAUCUUCUUAAAAAAUCUCUGUAAGCUCAAUUUGUAAUAUUCUAAAAAUACCAUGUAAUUUUGGUUCAGUUGAAAUCACUAUCUUCUCUUCUCAAAAAGAUAUCUUAUGCCAUGCUUAAAUGUAAUAGCCAUCUUUUCAAAUAUAACAUCUAGCUGCUUUAAUUCUGCAUUUA
This is a long non-coding RNA of Cryptomeria japonica (Japanese cedar), 882 nucleotides long. RefSeq lists it as uncharacterized. The record is from RefSeq and is a predicted model, not a curated record. Lineage: Eukaryota; Viridiplantae; Streptophyta; Pinopsida; Cupressales; Cupressaceae. The transcript has 3 exons.